GAUAAACGCUGGCGGCGUGCCUAACACAUGCAAGUCGAACGCUCUUGCGAAAGCGAGAGAGUGGCGGACGGGUGAGUAACACGUGGAGAUCUACCCACAGGUGAGGAAUACCGGCGAGAAAUCGCCGACAAAACCGCAUAGCCUUGUCGCGCAAGUGGCAAGGAAAGUCGCAAGACGCCUGAGGAUGACUCUGCGGCCGAUUAGCUGGUUGGUGGGGUAAUGGCCACCAAAGCGAUGAUCGGUAGCUGGUCUGAGAGGACGAUCAGCCACACUGGGAUUGAGAACGGCCCAGACUCCGUACGGGGGC
This 307-nucleotide ribosomal RNA is filed under the name uncultured bacterium. Its description in RNAcentral is "bacterial SSU rRNA". It matches the Rfam family "Bacterial small subunit ribosomal RNA", at positions 28 to 349 of the family's 1533-position model. The record is from RNAcentral.